AUCUCGUCUGAUCUCGGAAGCUAAGCAGGGUCCGGCCUGGUUAGUACUUGGAUGAGAGA
Molecule: ribosomal RNA, 59 nt
Filed under: Ailuropoda melanoleuca (giant panda)
Lineage: Eukaryota; Metazoa; Chordata; Mammalia; Carnivora; Ursidae
Source: RNAcentral